CUUAUCCUCUCUCUCAGUUGAGCCCAGCCACUCGUUUCCUAUCCCUUCUCUCAAUCCCUCUAAUUUCAAUCCCAUCCCACCACAACCACUCUUUGCUAGCCAUGGCUAGCCACGCCACAGCAAUCUUCCCCGACGAGUUUGUCCUGCUGCGGUGCUCCCGCAACUCCUCCCUCACCCACAGAUGCGGGAGUGGUGGUGUGGUGUGGGACGGUGAUGGAGAGCGCCGGUGGCCAUGAGACGGGUGGUGUAGCAAGCCACAGCUAGAACAACCAUGGUGGUGACCGGACAACAGUCCAUCGGCGCUGCAAAACCAGCAGCCACAGGAAGCAUUUGGAGUAUCGAGCCUAUGAAGCGCAUCAACAUUUUUGUUUUUGUUGGUUGGCAUUUUGAAGCCCGUGGUCUGCAUCGUCUUGCAGUUCCUUUUCUACCAUCAGUUGGUGGCCUGUUUCUGCAACUAGACUUUUAGUGGGUGUUGUGAAACAGAAUGACGCUAUGGGAGCCAAUUUGUGGUUGUGGUGGACUUUCAGAGAGAAAUGAAGUCAUCGAGAUCGAGUUUCCUACUGAUGUUUCUACUCCAGGAAGCAAUGGAGGAUCAUCAAUCAUGUUUCUGUUUGUCUACGCCAAGACAGACGCAGCAGCCAUGGAUGGGACUUACCAUUUUGCUUUUUUGUAAUCCUUUGGCAUUGGGUUUGGAUGCUAGUUUGUAUUUGUAUACAUAUAGGAAGUGAAUUCUGUUUCGGUUAGUUUAGAGCCUUUUGCUUUCAUGAUAAAGCAGGGGCCUGAGACUGGCCUAAAAUUUGGCUGUGUAUGUAUGUAGGCUCAGGAGAAAAAGUUGAAAAAUAAGCUGUCUUUUAGAUA
Triticum aestivum (bread wheat) is the source of this 858-nucleotide long non-coding RNA. RefSeq lists it as uncharacterized. The record is from RefSeq and is a predicted model, not a curated record. The transcript is spliced from 3 exons. Lineage: Eukaryota; Viridiplantae; Streptophyta; Magnoliopsida; Poales; Poaceae.